CAUGCAAGUCGAACGGUGAAGAGGAGCUUGCUCCUUGGAUCAGUGGCGAACGGGCGAGUAACACGUGAGCAAUCUGCCCUUGACUCUGGGAUAACUGCGGGAAACUGUAGCUAAUACCGGAUAUUACCUUGGAAGGCAUCUUCUGGGGUGGAAAGAAUUUUGGUCAAGGAUGAGCUCGCGGCCUAUCAGCUAGUUGGUGAGGUAAUGGCUCACCAAGGCGACGACGGGUAGCCGGCCUGAGAGGGUGACCGGCCACACUGGGACUGAGACACGGCCCAAACUCCUACGGGAGGCAGCAGUGGGGAAUAUUGCACAAUGGGCGCAAGCCUGAUGCAGCAACGCCGCGUGAGGGACGACGGCCUUCGGGUUGUAAACCUCUUUUAGUAGGGAAAAAGCGACUGGGUUUUCCUGGAAGUGACGGUACCUGCAAAAAAAGCACCGGCUAACUACGUGCCAGCAGCCGCGGUAAUACGUAGGGUGCAAGCGUUGUCCGGAAUUAUUGGGCGUAAAGAGCUCGUAGGCGGUUUGUCGCGUCUGCUGUGAAAACCCGAGGCUCAACCUCGGGCCUGCAGUGGGUACGGGCAGACUAGAGUGCGGUAGGGGAGAUUGGAAUUCCUGGUGUAGCGGUGGAAUGCGCAGAUAUCAGGAGGAACACCAAUG
This 660-nucleotide ribosomal RNA is filed under the name uncultured bacterium. Its description in RNAcentral is "bacterial SSU rRNA". It matches the Rfam family "Bacterial small subunit ribosomal RNA", at positions 54 to 714 of the family's 1533-position model. The record is from RNAcentral.